This 526-nucleotide ribosomal RNA is filed under the name uncultured Actinomycetes bacterium. RNAcentral describes it as "bacterial SSU rRNA". It matches the Rfam family "Bacterial small subunit ribosomal RNA", at positions 8 to 522 of the family's 1533-position model. Lineage: Bacteria; Bacillati; Actinomycetota; Actinomycetes. The record is from RNAcentral.
AGAGUUUGAUCCUGGCUCAGGACGAACGCUGGCGGCGCGCUUAACACAUGCAAGUCGAGCGACGAAAGGUCCUUCGGGACCCUGAAAGCGGCGAACGGGUGAGUAACACGUGGGUAACCCACCCUCGGUUUCGGGAUAGCCCGGGGAAACCCGGAUUAAUACCGAAUAGCCUCUCCGGUCUUCGGGCUGGUGAGAAAAGGUAGCUUCGGCCUCCGACCGAGGACGGGCCCGCGGCCGAUUAGCUUGUUGGUGGGGUAAAGGCCCACCAAGGCGACGAUCGGUAGCUGGUCUGAGAGGACGAUCAGCCACACUGGGACUGAGACACGGCCCAGACUCCUACGGGAGGCAGCAGUGGGGAAUCUUGCGCAAUGGGCGAAAGCCUGACGCAGCGACGCCGCGUGCGGGAAGAAGGCCUUAGGGUUGUAAACCGCUUUCAGGGGGGACGAAGCCACUCGGGUUAACAGCCCAGAGGGUGACGGUACCUCCAGAAGAAGCCCCGGCUAACUACGUGCCAGCAGCCGCGGUA